Amblyraja radiata (thorny skate) is the source of this 139-nucleotide long non-coding RNA. RefSeq lists it as uncharacterized. NCBI's taxonomy places the organism in Eukaryota, Metazoa, Chordata, Chondrichthyes, Rajiformes, Rajidae. The transcript is spliced from 3 exons. The record is from RefSeq and is a predicted model, not a curated record.
CUACUGAAGAUUCUAGAGAUUUGCGCCGGUAAGGGAAUCCACGAGGUUAGCCCCGAUCAGGGAACCCCCGGUCAGAGGGAAUUCCAUAACCUCGCGGAGGAGUGCAGGCACAACAAGAACCUUACCUGCAAACACCGGG